Molecule: non-coding RNA, 2551 nt
Organism: Rattus norvegicus (Norway rat)
Lineage: Eukaryota; Metazoa; Chordata; Mammalia; Rodentia; Muridae
Source: RefSeq, a predicted model, not a curated record
UCUCCUCCCCCUUCUAAAUAACUCAUGAGUCUGAUCGGUGCUGACCUCAUGUGAAUGGGUUUGUGGACAUCCAUUACAACAUAGUUGGAUUUAUCUUCUUUUGACACUACUUGAGGGGCUGAGUUAUGUGGCUCUGUGAUAGAGCACCUGUUUAGCCUACACUUUUAGGAUUCAAUUCCUAAAAACGGAAAUGGCAGUUAUUUUGACUUCUGAUUGAAACAUGCAGGAAUCAAAACAUCAUACAUAGAGCAAGUCCCGGAAGCUAAUCCAGCAAAAGCAGGAACUAAGACACACAGGAAUCAAAACACCAUACACAGACCAACACCAGAAGUCAUUGCAGAGAGAUCAGGAACUCAAAGGAAGCAGCUGGAUGCAAAAACAGUUCUGAGCAAGGUAAUAUGAAGCCAAGUAAGAGUGAAGCUAACACUUGUGAGCGACCUUCUUACCUACCAAAAUUUUGAGACCUGGUCUGUCCCUGGGUCUGAAGCUCACUGAUUCAGCAAGUCCUGGGGAUCCUCUUAUUCCACAUCCUCAGCCCCGGAAUGACAGCAAAUAAAUAUGAGAUAAAAGGAAUGCAGACAAAAGCAAAACAGAAAAUUGAAAGUAGAAGGACAAACUAGAGAGGUCGAAGCCAUCCUGCUGCAGGAGAUGGGAGCAAACGCAGAGAUCGCCAGCUGGACCACUCCAUCAGAUCCUCCCCUCAGGGCUCAGGGUACCCUGCUGCACAAGAGGCUGAGAGAGUCUAAGAGCCAAAGGGGACCACCAAGGAAACCCAGCCUUCUAGACCCAACAGGAUAGACAGACGUAUGAGCUCACGGAGACUGGCAGCAGCACACACAGGACCCGCCCAGGUCCAAGCCGGAUGGGGUCCUAGAGCUGAAAGGGGGAAGUGGACAUGACUCUCAUCCCUAAUCCAGACGCUAACUCCAAUAGCAAACUGCUCGCAAAGAAAAACUAGUUUUCUCCAAAGAAGUCUCCCUGGGAAAGUAAACCAACUGAAUGGCAGGCCCUAUGCCCAGCGCGGAUGACCACAUCAAACGAACUCAAUGGAAUUUUUUUUUUUUGAAAUUUUUAUUUCUUUUUAUUUUUGUCUCAUGCUGCAUUGUUUGAACAUUAUUUAAAAAAAAACUUACUGAUUUUUUGCUUAUAAUAUUGUGGUUUCCAAUUUUGUGUUUUUAUGGUGUGUGUGUGCUUUGGAUGAUUUUUCUUUUUUUUUCCCCUUCUGUUUGUUUUGUUUUAUUCUGGUUUGUUUGUUUUUCUUUUAUCUGUCUGUUUACUUUGUAAAAUGAGAGAGAGGAGACUGGGGGGGGCGGGGAAUGAAUACAACUGGAUGGAUAGGGAUGAUUUGGAAAGAGAUGAGAAAGGGGAAACAGUGAUCAAAAUAUAUCACAUGAAAAAAUUUCAUUUUUAAUUAAAGGAAGCCAAUGAGGGACAUGGCCACAAAGGAUUCCAGUAAAAUGGUUUUAUUUCUAAUAAUCAGUUUAUGCUUGGGCAAAUGUAAUGUUAUCUGACCCACAAGAGGCUCACCAGUUUCAACCUAUAUAAGUCUGGGUGUGAUCCUUUACUUUUACCAGAUGUCAGAGGACUCUGGGCUGACACAUUUAUGGGUUUGCCUAAGCAGGAGAGUAGUACUUCCAUGGGAGCUAGACAUGGUCCCUCUCUUUUGAUGGUGAUCCCUUGGAGCCAGUGUGAUUGACACAUCACUUAGUGAGGUCCAAUGCUCUCGACAGAUCUGAGAGCAGAAGGAGAGCUUGCAACUUAGUAAAAGAAGGACCUGAAAUAUGAGUUUCUCUUUAGUCUAGAUAGUUUAUUCUGGGUAAUGAAGGCAAAAUAAAAAUUACUUCAGAAGUCUAGGAGGGAUGCCUGGAUCCUUUACUGAGGAGCUUUAUGUCUGGGCAGGUGACACUGUACUAAGUUUUGGCCUAAUUUCUAGGUGAAAAUAAGGUAAUUUCGCAAUCUGAUGCUUCCUCUGAUUUGAUCCCCCCCCUCUAGUAUGUUGGUGUAACACCCCCAAUUUGACAGUAGAUGUGAAGACUCAGGACUGAGGAUAAGCAUCUGUUAGCUUCAGCAAGUCAGCCAGGCAAGUCUUCCUCCCUCAAGCAUCAGCUGCCAAGUUUACCUCAUCUAUCACCAUCUUAUCUAUCACCAUCUUAGUUGGAUCACCAAUGACACUGCUGAAUGAACUGAAGACGUUGUGAGGCUUCACUUGUGGCAGAAAAACACUUCCAAAUAUGGUACUAAAGAAAUAAUGCCAAGGUACAGAAUACAGCAAAUACAGAGGCGAAUGCCAGCAGCAAACCACUGAACUGAGAAUAGGACCCCCAUUGAAGGAAUCAGAGAAAGAACUGGAAGAGCUUGAAGGGGCUCGUGACCCCAUAUGUACAACAAUGCCAAGUAACCAGAGCUUCCAGGGACUAAGCCACUACCUAAAGACUAUACAUGGACUGACCCUGGACUCUGACCUCAUAGGUAGCAAUGAAUAUCCUAGUAAGAGCACCAGUGGAAGGGGAAGCCCUGGGUCCUGCUAAGACUGAACCCCAGUGAACUAGAC